GACGAACGCUGGCGGCGUGCUUAACACAUGCAAGUCGAGCGGUAAGGCCCUUUCGGGGGUACGACGAGCGGCGAACGGGUGAGUAACACGUGGGUGACCUGCCCUCAGCUCUGGGAUAAGCCUGGGAAACUGGGUCUAAUACCGGAUAUGACUCCAUGACGCAUGUCGUGGGGUGGAAAGCCUUGUGCGGCUGGGGAGUGGGCCCGCGGCCUAUCAGCUUGUUGGUGGGGUGAUGGCCUACCAAGGCGACGACGGGUAGCCGGCCUGAGAGGGCGACCGGCCACACUGGGACUGAGACACGGCCCAGACUCCUACGGGAGGCAGCAGUGGGGAAUCUUGCGCAAUGGGCGAAAGCCUGACGCAGCGACGCCGCGUGAGGGAUGACGGCCU
This 390-nucleotide ribosomal RNA is filed under the name uncultured bacterium. RNAcentral's name for it is "bacterial SSU rRNA". It matches the Rfam family "Bacterial small subunit ribosomal RNA", at positions 28 to 417 of the family's 1533-position model. The record is from RNAcentral.